CCCCAAGCUAUCCCUACUGCUCUACUCCCUAUCAUGUGUUGCGAUUUAUGUUGGUUUUCCCAAGUGAUGCAAUACUUAGUGUUGUGGCUAUUGGAAGGGGUCUGAACUCCCCCUAUGGACCUGUGAUCGUGUGGUAUGCUAUGUUGAAGGCCCAGUAAGGCUGGGUAUUUAACUUUUUUAUUUGGGCUUGUUAUAGGCAUGUUUAUUGCCAUGUAAUUAUUAUUAUUGUUACUUAUUAAUUUGGGUAUUUAAUAAUACCUUUGUAUAAACGAUUGGAGUGCUAGUAAAAGGGGAUGGGAUAAAUUUUAAUAUUUACAUGCAAUUGGUAAAUUUAAUGCCUAUAGGACCGAAUGGUGCAUUUGUUCCAUGCUAUUCAUUCCCUUUGUACACUGUAGAGAGCAUGCCAUUAGGAAAAACACACACACUUGCACUACUUGUUUAUUAGUAAAGCGUGAACUCAAAUGACUCAAUAUCUUUUUAGCUAUAUGAUAUUAGAGAACCUGUCUAUAGGAAGUGUCGUUAAACUUCCUAUUAAUUCGUAUUAUUGCAUCAUGUGCAAUAGGUACCAUGCCUACAAGAUCUUACUAGUUCACCUAAAAUCAUGCCUAUAGAACCUUAAUUAACCAAUCAUAUAUUGUUCCGCCUAAAUAACAUGUUUAUAGAGGUAAUGGGUUAUAAAAAUCAAAAUUCAAUUGUCAAUAGCUAGAUAUCCUACCUCUAGGACUAUCACUCGCUUAAUAUUAUUCCUUUGUCAAUGUUGAAUUUCCAGAAUUAUCUUCAUUUGUUUAACUCUGCAACUAUCAGAUAUCAUACUUAUAGGACAAAUGUCACUUUUCUAAAACAAGCGUCUAAAACCAUCGUUAAUAGCAAAGGGUCUACUGCAUCCUCUUCUAAACCAUGAAAGACAGUAACGUUAUAUAUACGUGGUUGGAUUCAAGGUCACCAUAAAUCAUGGCUAUAGGAAGUUAAAUUCCUUA
Molecule: long non-coding RNA, 977 nt
Filed under: Nicotiana benthamiana
Lineage: Eukaryota; Viridiplantae; Streptophyta; Magnoliopsida; Solanales; Solanaceae
Description: long non-coding RNA (NBEN_LNC026242)
Source: RNAcentral